Molecule: ribosomal RNA, 484 nt
Filed under: Nephasoma pellucidum
Lineage: Eukaryota; Metazoa; Annelida; Sipuncula; Golfingiida; Golfingiidae
Description: partial 16S ribosomal RNA
Rfam family: Bacterial large subunit ribosomal RNA
Source: RNAcentral
CGCCUUUAGAACAAAAAUUAAAGGUCCGGCCUGCCCAGUGAACUAUUUCAACGGCCGCGGUAUCCUGACCGUGCUAAGGUAGCGCAAUCCCUUGCCUUUUAAUUGAUGGCUAGUAUGAAUGGCUAGACGAGUGCAACCUUGUCUCUAGUAAACACUAUAAAAUUUAACCUUCAGGUGAAGAGGCCUGAAUAAUCAAGUAGGACGAGAAGACCCUAUCGAGCUUUACCGCACGUCAGCUCUCUCAGCUAUCGAUAAGUUUUGUUGGGGCAACAAAAAACCAAAAAAAGCGUUUUUCUACAUAUUCGGCCAAUAAGCCCUCCGACCCAAUUAAUUUGAUCACGAGAAAUAGCUACCGUAGGGAUAACAGACUAAUUCCUUCCGAGAGCCCACAUUGACGAAGGAGCUUGGCACCUCGAUGUUGGCUUAGGGCCCCUCCAAAAGGCAGCACUUUUGUAAGUAGGUUUGUUCAACCUUUAAAGCCCUA